GACGAGGGAUCCUAGCGUUGUUCGGAAUCAUUGGGCGUAAAGCGGGUGUAGGCGGGCUUAUAAGUCAGGUGUGAAAUCCCAGGGCUCGACCCUGGAAGUGCAUUUGAUACUGUAAGUCUUGAGUGUGGUAGAGGUUAUUGGAAUUCCUGGUGUAGUGGUGAAAUACGUAGAUAUCAGGAGGAAUACCGGAGGCGAAGGCGGGUAACUGGGCCAACACUGACGCUGAGAUCCGAAAGCGUGGGGAUCAAACAGG
This 253-nucleotide ribosomal RNA is filed under the name uncultured bacterium. RNAcentral describes it as "partial 16S ribosomal RNA". It matches the Rfam family "Bacterial small subunit ribosomal RNA", at positions 524 to 776 of the family's 1533-position model. The record is from RNAcentral.